Molecule: ribosomal RNA, 730 nt
Filed under: uncultured bacterium
Lineage: Bacteria
Description: bacterial SSU rRNA
Rfam family: Bacterial small subunit ribosomal RNA
Source: RNAcentral
AACAGGAUUAGAUACCCUGGUAGUCCACGCCGUAAACGAUGUCGAUUUGGAGGUUGUGCCCUUGAGGCGUGGCUUCCGGAGCUAACGCGUUAAAUCGACCGCCUGGGGAGUACGGCCGCAAGGUUAAAACUCAAAUGAAUUGACGGGGGCCCGCACAAGCGGUGGAGCAUGUGGUUUAAUUCGAUGCAACGCGAAGAACCUUACCUGGUCUUGACAUCCACAGAACUUUCCAGAGAUGGAUUGGUGCCUUCGGGAACUGUGAGACAGGUGCUGCAUGGCUGUCGUCAGCUCGUGUUGUGAAAUGUUGGGUUAAGUCCCGCAACGAGCGCAACCCUUAUCCUUUGUUGCCAGCGGUUAGGCCGGGAACUCAAAGGAGACUGCCAGUGAUAAACUGGAGGAAGGUGGGGAUGACGUCAAGUCAUCAUGGCCCUUACGACCAGGGCUACACACGUGCUACAAUGGCAUAUACAAAGAGAAGCGACCUCGCGAGAGCAAGCGGACCUCAUAAAGUAUGUCGUAGUCCGGAUUGGAGUCUGCAACUCGACUCCAUGAAGUCGGAAUCGCUAGUAAUCGUAGAUCAGAAUGCUGCGGUGAAUACGUUCCCGGGCCUUGUACACACCGCCCGUCACACCAUGGGAGUGGGUUGCAAAAGAAGUAGGUAGCUUAACCUUCGGGAGGGCGCUUACCACUUUGUGAUUCAUGACUGGGGUGAAGUCGUAACAAGGUAACC